UUCAUGCUUUUUGGGCAGGUAGCACUGUUUGAACACCUGCUUUUUGGCAACUUCCCACUCUGGAUCUUGCCUUACCCAGUAGAAGAAUGAAAUGUAAUCUCCUACCCUUCCUUGCAGCUACGGCUCAGACAGGUAGCAUGGGCUCACCAAUUAGGCAUACCUGUGUGAAAUCUGGAAGCAAGUACUUUGCAGACAAGAGUAGUAUGAGAUACAUUUUGUUGAGCGGAGCAGUGAUGUGGUUUUCAAGGCAGCAGUGGCAGAGGUCCCAUGUAAUGGCGCAAGGUGUGGAGGCUUUGCUUAGCAGUUUUUCCCCCGCAGCUGCUCCAAGGUAUAAAAAUGGGCAUUUUUGGGGGCUCCGUAGUCCUGACCUCCACGCCUGUGACUUGUGAGCCAUUUUAUUCUGUUUGUUUAAACUAGCUAGUGUAGAUCCUGUUGUUUGUAACCAACAGUGUUGACAUACAGCCACUAUUUAAUUGUAACCACUGUCAACCUAUUUCCUCAUUUACCUCAGAUCCUUUUGUGUUUAAAUAAAGGAAAAGCUACACAUCCAUUGAA
Molecule: non-coding RNA, 555 nt
Filed under: Pongo abelii (Sumatran orangutan)
Lineage: Eukaryota; Metazoa; Chordata; Mammalia; Primates; Hominidae
Source: RNAcentral